UACGACGGGGGCUAGCGUUGCUCGGCAUCACUGGGCGUAAAGGUUGCGUCGGCGGGUCUUUAAGUCAGGGGUGAAAUCCUGGAGCUCAACUCCAGAACUGCCUUUGAUACUGAAGAUCUUGAGUUCGGGAGAGGUGAGUGGAACUGCGAGUGUAGAGGUGAAAUUCGUAGAUAUUCGCAAGAACACCAGUGGCGAAGGCGGCUCACUGGCCCGAUACUGACGCUGAGGCACGAAAGCGUGGGGAGCAAACAGG
RNAcentral lists this ribosomal RNA (253 nucleotides) under uncultured bacterium. RNAcentral's name for it is "partial 16S ribosomal RNA". It matches the Rfam family "Bacterial small subunit ribosomal RNA", at positions 524 to 776 of the family's 1533-position model. The record is from RNAcentral.